GGAUUAGAUACCCUGGUAGUCCAUGCCGUAAACGAUGAGUGCUAGACGUUGGAAAUAUAUUUUUCAGUGUCGCAGCGAAAGCAUUAAGCACUCCGCCUGGGGAGUACGACCGCAAGGUUAAAACUCAAAUGAAUUGACGGGGACCCGCACAAGCAGUGGAGCAUGUGGUUUAAUUCGAAGAUACGCGCAGAACCUUACCAACGCUUGACAUGUUCGUCGCGACUCUAAGAGAUUAGAGUCUUCGGUUCGGCCGGACGAAACACAGGUGCUGCAUGGCUGUCGUCAGCUCGUGCCG
This 295-nucleotide ribosomal RNA is filed under the name uncultured bacterium. RNAcentral's name for it is "partial 16S ribosomal RNA". It matches the Rfam family "Bacterial small subunit ribosomal RNA", at positions 775 to 1067 of the family's 1533-position model. The record is from RNAcentral.